AUGUUCUCAUUUGAAGUUGUAUGGAUUGCUUUUGUGACACUUUUGAACAUGCUUUGUGUCGUUUUUGAGGCUGAAAACCUUAGGAAUUGCAUAGAAGAGAGCAACAAGCAUCUUAAGAAUUUCUCCUUGUGUUCCACGGAAGAAUUAAGUCAUAAAGGUCUGGAACGACAUGAGGAUCGCAAUGAAAUGCCACAGCUAAAAGUGAUUCAGAGUAAAGACUUGAGCUGACGAACAUCCUGGACUGCCACGCUUAUUUUAUUAUAUUAUUUUCUGUCUCCCAGGUUUAGAACAUCCAUCACUGAUUGUUCAGAAAUGUCUGUUUUUGUUUUUCUUAGCAUAUCAAACAAAUUUAACAAUGAAACAAAAGGUGCACACUCUUUGCUUGUGUCAGUUUUUUUUUUCCUCGUUUGUGUGUAGUUUUGAUUAUUGUGCCAAUGCGUUGUUAUUUCCUGCUUUGCAGGUUGAUUAUUUUGUUUGUGCGAUAAGCAGAUACUUCCCCAAAAGGAAUUGUCUGUAUGAGUGAGACAUAAUCGCUCUCUGAGCUUCUCUACAAACACGUGUUCAGUUUGACUGCAAGUCUGGUGGUCUAAUCACUGAUCCAGUAUAAAGGGUCCCGAAUGGCAGCUCAUUGUUCCCUGCACACCCGUUUCCUCUUUUGCCAGGAUAUGAUGUCUUUGCAUAAGUGAUUCUGCCACAUAUAUUGUGUUCGACUUCUGUUUUUUAUUAUCUGUAUUUUGGCACUGUUAUUCUGUUGGUUUCUUCAUAUGACUCUGUCACCAAAUCAUAUUCCUUGUAUGUGUAAACAUACCUGGCAAUAAAGCUCUUUCUGAUUCAGCUCAGGAAAAACAAGUCCAUAUUUACUCGCCAGCAUCUUUAACUUACAAUAAAGUGGAUCUGGGAUUUUUUUUAUGUAAUAUGUAUUUUAAUUUAUAAACUAUGUAAAUAGGUUUAUGAAAUAAAGUUAAGCUAUUAUAAAAU
Molecule: long non-coding RNA, 978 nt
Organism: Cyprinus carpio carpio
Lineage: Eukaryota; Metazoa; Chordata; Actinopteri; Cypriniformes; Cyprinidae
Source: Ensembl